CCUACGGGUGGCAGCAGUGAGGAAUAUUGGUCAAUGGGCGCGAGCCUGAACCAGCAAAGUAGCGUGAAGGAUGAAUGCUCUCCGGGUUGUAAGCUUCUUUUAAAAAGGAAUAAAGUGAGGCAGGUGUGCCUUUUUGUAUGGACUGUAUGAAUAAGGAUAGGCUAACUCCGUGCGAGCAGCCGCGGUAAUACGGAGGAUACGAGCGUUGUCCGGAUUUAUUGGGUUUAAAGGGAGCGUAGAUGGGUUGUUAAGUCAGUUGUGAAAGUUUGCGGCUCAACCGUAAAAGUGCAAUUGAUACUGGGUGCCUUGAGUACAGUUGAGGUAGGAGGAAUUCGUGGUGUAGCGGUGAAAUGCUUAGAUA
This 361-nucleotide ribosomal RNA is filed under the name uncultured bacterium. RNAcentral's name for it is "partial 16S ribosomal RNA". It matches the Rfam family "Bacterial small subunit ribosomal RNA", at positions 338 to 696 of the family's 1533-position model. The record is from RNAcentral.